UACGAAGGGGGCUAGCGUUGCUCGGAAUUACUGGGCGUAAAGGGCGCGUAGGCGGACAGUUUAGUCAGAGGUGAAAGCCCAGGGCUCAACCUUGGAAUUGCCUUUGAUACUGGCUGUCUUGAGUUCGGGAGAGGUGAGUGGAAUGCCGAGUGUAGAGGUGAAAUUCGUAGAUAUUCGGCGGAACACCAGUGGCGAAGGCGACUCACUGGACCGAUACUGACGCUGAGGCGCGAAAGCGUGGGGAGCAAACAGG
RNAcentral lists this ribosomal RNA (253 nucleotides) under uncultured bacterium. RNAcentral describes it as "partial 16S ribosomal RNA". It matches the Rfam family "Bacterial small subunit ribosomal RNA", at positions 524 to 776 of the family's 1533-position model. The record is from RNAcentral.